GGACAGGUGAGAUAUGGACAGGUGAGGGACAGGUGAGAUAUGGACAGGUGAGAUGGGACAGGUGAGAUAUGGACAGGUGAGAUAUGGACAGGUGAG
Molecule: long non-coding RNA, 96 nt
Organism: Zonotrichia leucophrys gambelii
Lineage: Eukaryota; Metazoa; Chordata; Aves; Passeriformes; Passerellidae
Exons: 3
Source: RefSeq, a predicted model, not a curated record